The sequence is a transfer RNA, 76 nucleotides long. It matches the Rfam family "tRNA". From Rfam's summary of the family: Transfer RNA (tRNA) molecules are approximately 80 nucleotides in length. Their secondary structure includes four short double-helical elements and three loops (D, anti-codon, and T loops).
UGCGGAGUGGUAGCAGUGGUAGCUCGCAGGGCUCAUAACCCUGAGGUCGUUGGUUCAAAUCCUUCCUCCGCAUCCA